This 253-nucleotide ribosomal RNA is filed under the name uncultured bacterium. RNAcentral's name for it is "partial 16S ribosomal RNA". It matches the Rfam family "Bacterial small subunit ribosomal RNA", at positions 524 to 776 of the family's 1533-position model. The record is from RNAcentral.
UACGGAGGAUCCAAGCGUUAUCCGGAAUCAUUGGGUUUAAAGGGUCCGUAGGCGGUUUGGUAAGUCAGUGGUGAAAGCCCAUCGCUCAACGGUGGAACGGCCAUUGAUACUGCCAGACUUGAAUUAUUAGGAAGUAACUAGAAUAUGUAGUGUAGCGGUGAGAUGCUUAGAGAUUACAUGGAAUACCAAUUGCGAAGGCAGGUUACUACUAAUGGAUUGACGCUGAUGGACGAAAGCGUGGGUAGCGAACAGG